GAUGAACGCUGGCGGCGUGCCUAAUACAUGCAAGUCGAGCGAACGGACGAGAAGCUUGCUUCUCUGAUGUUAGCGGCGGACGGGCGAGUAACACGUGGAUAACCUACCUAUAAGACUGGGAUAACUUCGGGAAACCGGAGCUAAUACCGGAUGAUAUUUUGAACCGCAUGGUUCAAAAGUGAAAGACGGUCUUGCUGUCACUUAUAGAUGGAUCCGCGCUGCAUUAGCUAGUUGGUAAGGUAACGGCUUACCAAGGCAACGAUGCAUAGCCGACCUGAGAGGGUGAUCGGCCACCCUGGAAAUGAGACACGGUCCAGACUCCUAAGGGAGGCAGCAGUAGGGAACUUUCCGAAAUGGGCGAAAGCCUGACGGAGCAACCCCGCGGGAGUGAUGAAGGUCUUCGGAUCGUAAAACUCUUUUAUUAGGGAAGAACAUAUGUGUAAGUAACUGUGCACAUCUUGACGGUACCUAAUCAGAAAGCCACGGCUAACCACGU
This 496-nucleotide ribosomal RNA is filed under the name uncultured bacterium. RNAcentral describes it as "partial 16S ribosomal RNA". It matches the Rfam family "Bacterial small subunit ribosomal RNA", at positions 28 to 506 of the family's 1533-position model. The record is from RNAcentral.